AAAUGAACGCUGGCGGCGCGCCUAAUACAUGCAAGUCGAGCGAGAAGACGUAGCAAUACGUUUGUAAAGCGCGAACGGGUGAGAAUACAUGGGUAACCUACCCUCGAGUGGGGAAUAACUAGCCGAAAGGUUAGCUAAUACGCGUACGCUUCUUGGACUUCGGUUCAGGGAGGAAAGGCGAUGCCGAGGGUAUCGCGCUCUUGGAUGGGCUCAUGUCCUAUCAGCUUGUUGGGAGGUAACGGCUCACCAAGGCUUCGACGGGUAGCUGGUCUGAGAGGACGAUCAGCCACACUGGCACUGCGACACGGGCCAGACUCCUACGGGAGGCAGCAAGUAAGGAAUAUUGCGCAA
Molecule: ribosomal RNA, 351 nt
Filed under: uncultured bacterium
Lineage: Bacteria
Description: bacterial SSU rRNA
Rfam family: Bacterial small subunit ribosomal RNA
Source: RNAcentral